RNAcentral lists this ribosomal RNA (1959 nucleotides) under human gut metagenome. Its description in RNAcentral is "bacterial LSU rRNA". It matches the Rfam family "Bacterial large subunit ribosomal RNA", at positions 1 to 1980 of the family's 2925-position model. The record is from RNAcentral.
UUAAGUGAAUAAGGGCGUACGGUGGAUGCCUAGGCACUUGGAACUGAAGAAGGACGCAACAAACGGCGAAACGCGACGGGGAGUGGUACGUACACAAAGAUCCGUCGAUAUCCGAAUGGGGAAACCCGGCAGCAGUAGUGAGCUGUCACCGAUGAGUGAAUACAUAGCUCAUGCGGGAGGUACCCGGAGAACUGAAACAUCUAAGUAUCCGGAGGAAAAGAAAAUAAGAAUGAUUCCGUAAGUAGCGGCGAGCGAACGCGGAGGAGCCCAAACCAGAUCUUGAUCUGGGGUUGUAGGACCACGAUAUGGCAAGAGCAUGGCUAAGAGAACGGCAUUGAAAGGCCGACCGGAGAGGGUGCAAGUCCCGUAUCUGAAAGUCUAGCGAAGCCUAGUGGUAUCCUGAGUACGGCGAGACACGAGAAAUCUUGUCGGAAGCAGGCGGGACCAUCCGUCAAGGCUAAAUAUACCCAAGUGACCGAUAGUGGACCAGUACCGUGAGGGAAAGGUGAAAAGAACCGCGGGAGCGGAGUGAAAUAGAACCUGAAACCGUAUGCUUACAAGAAGUCAGAGCCCGUUAAAGGGUGAUGGCGUGCCUUUUGUAGAAUGAACCGGCGAGUUACGUUAUCGUGCGAGGUUAAGUAGAAGAUACGGAGCCGAAGCGAAAGCGAGUCUUAAUAGGGCGGCAGUACGAUGAUGUAGACCCGAAACCGUGUGAUCUAGCCAUGACCAGGUUGAAGUUCAGGUGAAACUGAAUGGAGGACCGAACCGACCCCCGUUGAAAAGUUGGCGGAUGAGUUGUGGCUAGGGGAGAAAUUCCAAUCGAACACGGAUAUAGCUGGUUCUCCCCGAAAUAGCUUUAGGGCUAGCGUCGAGGAAGAGUCGUAUGGAGGUAGAGCACUGAAUGUACGAUGGCCCCAUCCCGGGGUACUGAGUAUAAUCAAACUCCGAAUGCCAUACAGAUAUACUCGGCAGUCAGACUGUGGGUGAUAAGGUCCAUGGUCAAAAGGGAAACAGCCCAGACCGCCAGUUAAGGUCCCAAAAUGUAUGCUAAGUGGAAAAGGAUGUGGGGAUGCACAGACAACUAGGAGGUUGGCUCAGAAGCAGCCAUCCUUGAAAGAGUGCGUAACAGCUCACUAGUCGAGUGACCCUGCGCCGAAAAUGUACCGGGGCUAAGCAUACUACCGAAGCUGCGGAUUCAACUUCAGAGUUGAGUGGUAGGGGAGCGUUGCAUGCACGUAGAAGCCAUACCGUAAGGAGUGGUGGAGAGCAUGGAAGAGAGAAUGCCGGUGUGAGUAGCGAGAUGUAGGUGAGAAUCCUACACACCGAUAGCCCAAGGAUUCCAGGGGAAGGUUCGUCCGCCCUGGGUAAGUCGGGACCUAACGCGAGGCCGAAAGGCGUAGUGGAUGGAAAACAGGCAGAUAUUCCUGUACCCGCGAUGGAAAUGAAGGAAUGACGGAGAAGGCUAGUGUGAGCCACUUAACGGAUUGUGGUCGAAGCAUAUAGCAGGCUGACAGUGAAAUGCGUCAGCGGGAUGUAAGAUGUGACAGGUAAGGGAACGCCUUCGGGCAAGUACUGAAGCACAUGAUGCCAGCUUCCAAGAAAAGUUUCUAGUGAUAAUUCCAUAGCGGCCCGUACCAAAACCGACACAGGUGGGCAAGGAGAGAAUCCUGAGGUGAGCGAGAGAACUGUUGCCAAGGAACUCGGCAAAAUGACUCCGUAAGUUAGCGAUAAGGAGUGCUCUUGUAAAAGAGAGCCGCAGUGAAGAGGCCCAAGCGACUGUUUAACUAAAACACAGCUCUCUGCAAAGUCGCAAGACGAAGUAUAGGGGGUGACGCCUGCCCGGUGCUGGAAGGUUAAGAGGAUUUGUCAUCCGAAAGGAGAAGCAAUGAAUUGAAGCCCCAGUGAACGGCGGCCGUAACUAUAACGGUCCUAAGGUAGCGAAAUUCCUUGUCAGGUAAG